GGAGUAUGGGCCGUGUCUCAGUCCCAUUGUGGCUGAUCAUCCUCUCAAACCAGCUACUGAUCGUCGCCUUGGUGGUCCAUUACACCUCCAACUAGCUAAUCAGAUGCAGACUCAUCCUGAAGCGAUAAAUCUUUCACGAAUAGUAUUGCAACUACGCGCAUAUGGGGUAUUAGCAGAAGUUUCCCUCUGUUGUCCCCCUCUUCAGGGCAGAUUCUCUACACAUUACUCACCCGUCCGCCACUUUCCUCUUGUGCAAGCACAAGAUUCUCGUUCGACUUGCAUGUAUGAAGCACGCCGCCAGCGUUCGUCCUCGAGCCACGGAUCAAACUACU
Molecule: ribosomal RNA, 332 nt
Filed under: uncultured cyanobacterium
Lineage: Bacteria; Bacillati; Cyanobacteriota
Description: partial 16S ribosomal RNA
Source: RNAcentral